Molecule: ribosomal RNA, 393 nt
Filed under: uncultured bacterium
Lineage: Bacteria
Description: partial 16S ribosomal RNA
Rfam family: Bacterial small subunit ribosomal RNA
Source: RNAcentral
AUACGGAGGAUCCGAGCGUUAUCCGGAUUUAUUGGGUUUAAAGGGAGCGUAGGUGGAUUGUUAAGUCAGUUGUGAAAGUUUGCGGCUCAACCGUAAAAUUGCAGUUGAAACUGGCAGUCUUGAGUACAGUAGAGGUGGGCGGAAUUCGUGGUGUAGCGGUGAAAUGCUUAGAUAUACCGAAGAACUCCGAUUGCGAAGGCAGCUCACUAGACUGUUACUGACACUGAUGCUCGAAAGUGUGGGUAUCAAACAGGAUUAGAUACCCUGGUAGUCCACACAGUAAACGAUGAAUACUCGCUGUUUGCGAUAUACAGUAAGCGGCCAAGCGAAAGCAUUAAGUAUUCCACCUGGGGAGUACGCCGGCAGCGGUGAAACUCAAAGGAAUUGACGGGG